RNAcentral lists this transfer RNA (76 nucleotides) under Alteromonas macleodii. RNAcentral describes it as "tRNA-Val". It matches the Rfam family "tRNA". From Rfam's summary of the family: Transfer RNA (tRNA) molecules are approximately 80 nucleotides in length. Their secondary structure includes four short double-helical elements and three loops (D, anti-codon, and T loops). The record is from RNAcentral. RNAcentral also lists the same sequence under 1 other name. Lineage: Bacteria; Pseudomonadati; Pseudomonadota; Gammaproteobacteria; Alteromonadales; Alteromonadaceae.
GGACGCUUAGCUCAGUUGGGAGAGCAUCGCCCUUACAAGGCGAGGGUCACUGGUUCGAGCCCAGUAGCGUCCACCA